GGGAGCUGUAAGUAAGCUUUGAUCCAGAGAUUUCCGAAUGGGGAAACCCAGCAUGAGUUAUGUCAUGUUAUCGAUAUGUGAAUACAUAGCAUAUCAGAAGGCACACCCGGAGAACUGAAACAUCUUAGUACCCGGAGGAAGAAAAAGAAAAUUCGAUUCCCUUAGUAGCGGCGAGCGAAACGGGAAGAGCCCAAACCAACAAGCUUGCUUGUUGGGGUUGUAGGACACUCUAUACGGAGUUACAAAGGACGACAUUAGACGAAUCAUCUGGAAAGAUGAAUCAAAGAAGGUAAUAAUCCUGUAGUCGAAAAUGUUGUCUCUCUUGAGUGGAUCCUGAGUACGACGGAACACGUGAAAUUCCGUCGGAAUCUGGGAGGACCAUCUCCUAAGGCUAAAUACUCUCUAGUGACCGAUAGUGAACCAGUACCGUGAGGGAAAGGUGAAAAGCACCCCGGAAGGGGAGUGAAAUAGAACCUGAAACCGUGUGCUU
This 490-nucleotide ribosomal RNA is filed under the name Staphylococcus aureus. RNAcentral's name for it is "partial 23S ribosomal RNA". It matches the Rfam family "Bacterial large subunit ribosomal RNA", at positions 81 to 565 of the family's 2925-position model. The record is from RNAcentral. Lineage: Bacteria; Bacillati; Bacillota; Bacilli; Caryophanales; Staphylococcaceae.